Molecule: ribosomal RNA, 1371 nt
Filed under: uncultured bacterium
Lineage: Bacteria
Description: bacterial SSU rRNA
Rfam family: Bacterial small subunit ribosomal RNA
Source: RNAcentral
CAGAUUGAACGCUGGCGGCAGGCCUAACACAUGCAAGUCGAACGGUAGCACAGAGGAGCUUGCUCCUUGGGUGACGAGUGGCGGACGGGUGAGUAAUGUCUGGGAAACUGCCUGAUGGAGGGGGAUAACUACUGGAAACGGUAGCUAAUACCGCAUAACGUCGCAAGACCAAAGUGGGGGACCUUCGGGCCUCACACCAUCGGAUGUGCCCAGAUGGGAUUAGCUAGUAGGUGGGGUAAUGGCUCACCUAGGCGACGAUCCCUAGCUGGUCUGAGAGGAUGACCAGCCACACUGGAACUGAGACACGGUCCAGACUCCUACGGGAGGCAGCAGUGGGGAAUAUUGCACAAUGGGCGCAAGCCUGAUGCAGCCAUGCCGCGUGUAUGAAGAAGGCCUUCGGGUUGUAAAGUACUUUCAGCGGGGAGGAAGGCGAUGGAGUUAAUAGCUUCAUCGAUUGACGUUACCCGCAGAAGAAGCACCGGCUAACUCCGUGCCAGCAGCCGCGGUAAUACGGAGGGUGCAAGCGUUAAUCGGAAUUACUGGGCGUAAAGCGCACGCAGGCGGUCUGUCAAGUCGGAUGUGAAAUCCCCGGGCUUAACCUGGGAACUGCAUUCGAAACUGGCAGGCUAGAGUCUUGUAGAGGGGGGGUAGAAUUCCAGGGUGUAGCGGUGAAAUGCGUAGAGAUCUGGAGGAAUACCGGUGGCGAAAGGCGGCCCCCUGGACAAAGACUGACGCUCAGGUGCGAAAGCGUGGGGAGCAAACAGGAUUAGAUACCCUGGUAGUCCACGCCGUAAACGAUGUCGACUUGGAGGUUGUGCCCUUGAGGCGUGGCUUCCGGAGCUAACGCGUUAAGUCGACCGCCUGGGGAGUACGGCCGCAAGGUUAAAACUCAAAUGAAUUGACGGGGGCCCGCACAAGCGGUGGAGCAUGUGGUUUAAUUCGAUGCAACGCGAAGAACCUUACCUACUCUUGACAUCCAGCGAAUUCGGUAGAGAUACCUUAGUGCCUUCGGGAACGCUGAGACAGGUGCUGCAUGGCUGUCGUCAGCUCGUGUUGUGAAAUGUUGGGUUAAGUCCCGCAACGAGCGCAACCCUUAUCCUUUGUUGCCAGCGGUCCGGCCGGGAACUCAAAGGAGACUGCCAGUGAUAAACUGGAGGAAGGUGGGGAUGACGUCAAGUCAUCAUGGCCCUUACGAGUAGGGCUACACACGUGCUACAAUGGCGCAUACAAAGAGAAGCGACCUCGCGAGAGCAAGCGGACCUCAUAAAGUGCGUCGUAGUCCGGAUUGGAGUCUGCAACUCGACUCCAUGAAGUCGGAAUCGCUAGUAAUCGUAGAUCAGAAUGCUACGGUGAAUACGUUCCCGGGCCUUG